UGGGGAAUAUUGCACAAUGGGCGCAAGCCUGAUGCAGCCAUGCCGCGUGUAUGAAGAAGGCCUUCGGGUUGUAAAGUACUUUCAGCGAGGAGGAAGGCGGUAAGGUUAAUAACCUUAUCGAUUGACGUUACUCGCAGAAGAAGCACCGGCUAACUCCGUGCCAGCAGCCGCGGUAAUACGGAGGGUGCAAGCGUUAAUCGGAAUUACUGGGCGUAAAGCGCACGCAGGCGGUCUGUCAAGUCGGAUGUGAAAUCCCCGGGCUCAACCUGGGAACUGCAUUCGAAACUGGCAGGCUAGAGUCUUGUAGAGGGGGGUAGAAUUCCAGGUGUAGCGGUGAAAUGCGUAGAGAUCUGGAGGAGUACCGGUGGCGAAGGCGGCCCCCUGGACAAAGACUGACGCUCAGGUGCGAAAGCGUGGAGAGCAAACA
RNAcentral lists this ribosomal RNA (427 nucleotides) under uncultured bacterium. Its description in RNAcentral is "partial 16S ribosomal RNA". It matches the Rfam family "Bacterial small subunit ribosomal RNA", at positions 355 to 774 of the family's 1533-position model. The record is from RNAcentral.